AAAUUGAAGAGUUUGAUCAUGGCUCAGAUUGAACGCUGGCGGCAGGCCUAACACAUGCAAGUCGAGCGGUAACACAGAGAGCUUGCUCUCGGGUGACGAGCGGCGGACGGGUGAGUAAUGUCUGGGAAACUGCCUGAUGGAGGGGGAUAACUACUGGAAACGG
This 163-nucleotide ribosomal RNA is filed under the name Klebsiella aerogenes. RNAcentral describes it as "partial 16S ribosomal RNA". It matches the Rfam family "Bacterial small subunit ribosomal RNA", at positions 1 to 159 of the family's 1533-position model. Lineage: Bacteria; Pseudomonadati; Pseudomonadota; Gammaproteobacteria; Enterobacterales; Enterobacteriaceae. The record is from RNAcentral.